This 345-nucleotide unclassified non-coding RNA is filed under the name soil metagenome. Its description in RNAcentral is "partial contains 5.8S ribosomal RNA, internal transcribed spacer 2, and large subunit ribosomal RNA". The stretch from base 1 to 119 matches the Rfam family "5.8S ribosomal RNA", at positions 35 to 154 of the family's 154-position model. The record is from RNAcentral.
GAUGAAGAACGCAGCGAAAUGCGAUACGUAAUGUGAAUUGCAAAUUCAGUGAAUCAUCGAGUCUUUGAACGCACAUUGCGCCCCCUGGUAUUCCGGGGGGCAUGCCUGUCCGAGCGUCAUUGCUGCCCUCAAGCACGGCUUGUGUCUUGGGCCCCGUCCUCCGAUCCCGGGGGACGGGCCCGAAAGGCAGCGGCGGCACAGCGUCCGGUCCUCGAGCGUAUGGGGCUUUGUCACCCGCUCUGUAGGCCCGGCCGGCGCUUGCCGAUCAACCCAAAUUUUUAUCCAGGUUGACCUCGGAUCAGGUAGGGAUACCCGCUGAACUUAAGCAUAUCAAUAAGCGGAGGA